RNAcentral lists this unclassified non-coding RNA (209 nucleotides) under Moritella viscosa. RNAcentral describes it as "putative sRNA". Lineage: Bacteria; Pseudomonadati; Pseudomonadota; Gammaproteobacteria; Alteromonadales; Moritellaceae. The record is from RNAcentral.
GCGGAAAAGUGGAAAGUUCUAAGCUGACAAUUAUUAAAUAACCGGAUUUAAAAUAUAGGUAAUUAUUACCUGCUAUAUUCACUUUGUGAACGGGCGGGAUUAUCUGCUAAUUUGAGUUGAAUUGAAAGUUUUUUGUCAUUAAAGCAUACUUUUAUUAUGUAAAACCAUGAUUUCAGUGAACAUUAUAGAUCAAACGCCUAAAAGUAUCG